UAGGUCCUAAACAUGCAAAGAUGAGGGAAGAGAAAUAAAACCACUUGGAGUUCCCUUCUUGAGAUCAUAAAGAUGAUCCAAGUUGCUCAUUUCCUUUGGAUUUAGCAAGCAAUAGGCAAUUAACUCAAACAAUCAAGCAAAUAUUCAAUCAAGCUCCUAGGAAUCUUCCAAUUGACUUUUGUCUCUCUUAUUUUUGGAUGCUCAUGAUAAUGGUCCUU
RNAcentral lists this long non-coding RNA (218 nucleotides) under Lathyrus oleraceus (garden pea). RNAcentral's name for it is "Pisum sativum (pea) long non-coding RNA (PSAT_LNC019170)". Lineage: Eukaryota; Viridiplantae; Streptophyta; Magnoliopsida; Fabales; Fabaceae. The record is from RNAcentral.